RNAcentral lists this ribosomal RNA (156 nucleotides) under Didymellaceae sp. MRL2-3. RNAcentral describes it as "5.8S ribosomal RNA". It matches the Rfam family "5.8S ribosomal RNA". Rfam says of the family: 5.8S ribosomal RNA (5.8S rRNA) is a component of the large subunit of the eukaryotic ribosome. It is transcribed by RNA polymerase I as part of the 45S precursor that also contains 18S and 28S rRNA. The record is from RNAcentral. Lineage: Eukaryota; Fungi; Ascomycota; Dothideomycetes; Pleosporales; Didymellaceae.
AACUUUCAACAAUGGAUCUCUUGGCUCUGGCAUCGAUGAAGAACGCAGCGAAAUGCGAUAAGUAGUGUGAAUUGCAGAAUUCAGUGAAUCAUCGAAUCUUUGAACGCACAUUGCGCCCCUUGGUAUUCCGGGGGGCAUGCCUGUUCGAGCGUCAUC